RNAcentral lists this ribosomal RNA (505 nucleotides) under uncultured bacterium. RNAcentral describes it as "bacterial SSU rRNA". It matches the Rfam family "Bacterial small subunit ribosomal RNA", at positions 30 to 518 of the family's 1533-position model. The record is from RNAcentral.
UGAACGCUGGCGGCGUGCCUAACACAUGCAAGUCGAACGGAGAAUUUACGCUGAUGAAGCUUCGGCAGAUUCUUGUAAAUUCUUAGUGGCGGACGGGUGAGUAACGCGUGGGCAACCUGCCUCAUACUGGGGGAUAACAGCUGGAAACGACUGUUAAUACCGCAUAAGCGCACGGUAUCGCAUGAUACAGUGUGAAAAACUCCGGUGGUAUGAGAUGGGCCCGCGUCAGAUUAGCCAGUUGGCAGGGUAACGGCCUACCAAAGCGACGAUCUGUAGCCGGCCUGAGAGGGCGGACGGCCACAUUGGGACUGAGACACGGCCCAAACUCCUACGGGAGGCAGCAGUGGGGGAUAUUGCACAAUGGAGGAAACUCUGAUGCAGCGACGCCGCGUGAAGUGAAGAAGUAUUUCGGUAUGUAAAGCUCUAUCAGCAGGGAAGAAAGACUCGUAAGAGAGAUGACGGUACCUGACUAAGAAGCCCCGGCUAACUACGUGCCAGCCGCAGC